RNAcentral lists this ribosomal RNA (261 nucleotides) under Triticum aestivum (bread wheat). RNAcentral describes it as "partial small subunit ribosomal RNA". Lineage: Eukaryota; Viridiplantae; Streptophyta; Magnoliopsida; Poales; Poaceae. The record is from RNAcentral.
UCGAUCUGUAAUAUUUGUGGCAAUGGUGAAGAGAACGAGUACCAUGCGGUAAUUUCCUGUACUAAGAGUAGAGCCCUCAGGGAAGCCAUGAGGAAAGAAUGGCACCUCCCACUGGAGAAAUCUUUCAGAUACACCGGAACAGACUGGCUGCAGAUGCUCCUUGACCCUGAAUCCGAAGAAACUCGGGCUAACAUCCUAUUCAUUCUCUGGAGAUGUUGGCACUUGCGGGAAGACUGCAUCCGAAACAAUGGAAAGGAAUCA